RNAcentral lists this ribosomal RNA (253 nucleotides) under uncultured bacterium. RNAcentral's name for it is "partial 16S ribosomal RNA". It matches the Rfam family "Bacterial small subunit ribosomal RNA", at positions 524 to 776 of the family's 1533-position model. The record is from RNAcentral.
UACGGAGGGUGCAAGCGUUAUCCGGAUUUACUGGGUUUAAAGGGUGCGCAGGCGGAUAUGUAAGUCAGUGGUGAAAUCUCCGGGCUUAACCCGGAACUGCCGUUGAUACUAUAUAUCUUGAAUGCUGUGGAGGUAAGCAGAAUAUGUCAUGUAGCGGUGAAAUGCUUAGAGAUGACAUAGAAUACCUAUUGCGAAGGCAGCUUACUACGCAGAUAUUGACGCUCAUGCACGAAAAGCGUGGGGAUCAAACAGG